Molecule: ribosomal RNA, 466 nt
Filed under: uncultured bacterium
Lineage: Bacteria
Description: partial 16S ribosomal RNA
Rfam family: Bacterial small subunit ribosomal RNA
Source: RNAcentral
GACGAACGCUGGCGGCGUGCUUAACACAUGCAAGUCGAACGGAAAGGCCCUGCUUGCAGGGUACUCGAGUGGCGAACGGGUGAGUAACACGUGGGUGAUCUGCCCUGCACUUCGGGAUAAGCCUGGGAAACUGGGUCUAAUACCGGAUAGGAGCCAUUUUUAGUGUGAUGGUUGGAAAGUUUUUUUCGGUGUAGGAUGAGCUCGCGGCCUAUCAGCUUGUUGGUGGGGUAAUGGCCUACCAAGGCGGCGACGGGUAGCCGGCCUGAGAGGGUGGACGGCCACAUUGGGACUGAGAUACGGCCCAGACUCCUACGGGCGGCAGCAGUGGGGAAUAUUGCACAAUGGGCGCAAGCCUGAUGCAGCGACGCCGCGUGGGGGAUGACGGCCUUCGGGUUGUAAACUCCUUUCGCUAGGGACGAAGCUUUUUGUGACGGUACCUAGAUAAGAAGCACCGGCUAACUACGUG